GUGAAGGUGGCCUGUGAGGGUUGCUGGAGGUAUCAGAAGUGCGAAUGCUGACAUAAGUAACGAUAAAGCGGGUGAAAAGCCCGCUCGCCGGAAGACCAAGGGUUCCUGUCCAACGUUAAUCGGGGCAGGGUGAGUCGACCCCUAAGGCGAGGCCGAAAGGCGUAGUCGAUGGGAAACGGGUUAAUAUUCCCGUACUUGGUGUUACUGCGAAGGGGGGACGGAGAAGGCUAUGUUGGCCGGGCGACGGUUGUCCCGGUUUAAGCGUGUAGGUGUGUGUUCCAGGUAAAUCCGGUUCACUUUAACACUGAGGCGUGACGACGAGGCACUACGGUGCUGAAGCAACAAAUGCCCUGCUUCCAGGAAAAGCCUCUAAGCAUCAGGUAACAUCAAAUCGUACCCCAAACCGACACAGGUGGUCAGGUAGAGAAUACCAAGGCGCUUGAGAGAACUCGGGUGAAGGAACUAGGCAAAAUGGUGCCGUAACUUCGGGAGAAGGCACGCUGACAUGUAGGUGAAGUGAUUUACUCAUGGAGCUGAAGUCAGUCGAAGAUACCAGCUGGCUGCAACUGUUUAUUAAAAACACAGCACUGUGCAAACACGAAAGUGGACGUAUACGGUGUGACGCCUGCCCGGUGCCGGAAGGUUAAUUGAUGGGGUCAGCGCAAGCGAAGCUCCUGAUCGAAGCCCCGGUAAACGGCGGCCGUAACUAUAACGGUCCUAAGGUAGCGAAAUUCCUUGUCGGGUAAGUUCCGACCUGCACGAAUGGCGUAAUGAUGGCCAGGCUGUCUCCACCCGAGACUCAGUGAAAUUGAACUCGCUGUGAAGAUGCAGUGUACCCGCGGCAAGACGGAAAGACCCCGUGAACCUUUACUAUAGCUUGACACUGAACAUUGAGCCUUGAUGUGUAGGAUAGGUGGGAGGCUUUGAAG
RNAcentral lists this ribosomal RNA (929 nucleotides) under Salmonella enterica. RNAcentral's name for it is "partial 23S ribosomal RNA". It matches the Rfam family "Bacterial large subunit ribosomal RNA", at positions 1250 to 2162 of the family's 2925-position model. Lineage: Bacteria; Pseudomonadati; Pseudomonadota; Gammaproteobacteria; Enterobacterales; Enterobacteriaceae. RNAcentral also lists the same sequence under 2 other names. The record is from RNAcentral.